AUGCACACACAUAGAGAAAGACACACACAAACACACAUUUACGUGCAUGCACACACAGACAAACACACACAUAUACAUGUGCAUACACACACAUACAUGCACUCUGUACACUCAGACAGUCAAAACCUAGUAAGAGCAGCAGUAGCCACAGGAGUAGCAGCAGCAGGGGUAGUAGCAGUAGUAGUAGUAGAAGUAGUAGUAGUAAUAGUAGUAGUAGAAGUAGUGGUAGUAGUAGUAACAGUAGCAGUAGUAGUAGUAGUAGUAGUAGUUGUAGUAGAAGUAGAAGUAGUAGUAGUAGUAACAGUAGCAGUAGUAGUAGUAGUAACAGUAGCAGUAAUAGUAGUAGUAGUAGCAGUAAUAGUACUACUAGUAGUAGUAGUAGCAGUAAUAGCAGUAGUAGCAGUAGUAGCAGUAGUAGUAGUAGUAGUAGUAGAAGUAGUAGUAGUAGCAGCAGUACUAGUAGUAGUAAAAGUAGCAGCAGGAGCAGCAGUAGUAACAGCAGUAGCAGUAGUAACAGUAGUUGCAGUAGCAACAGUAGUUGCAGUAGUAGUAACAGCAGCAGUAGUAGUAACAGCAGCAGCAGCAGUAGUAGUAACACCAGCAGCAGCAGUAGUAGUAACAGCAGCAGCAGUAGUAGUAACAGCAGCAGUAGUAGUAACAGCAGCAGUAGUAGUAGUAACAGCAGCAGUAGUAGUAACAGCAGCAGUAGUAGUAGUAACAGCAGCAGUAGUAGUAACAGCAGUAGUAGUAGUAACAGCAGCAGUAGUAGUAGUAACAGCAGCAGUAGUAGUAACAGCAGCAGCAGUAGUAGUAACAGCAGCAGUAGUAGUAACAGCAGCAGUAGUAGUAGUAACAGCAGCAGUAGUAGUAACAGCAGUAGUAGCAGCAAUAGUAACAGCAUCAGCAGCAGUAGUAGUAGUAGUAGUAACAGCAGCAGUAGUAGUAGUAGUAGUAACAGCAGCAGUAGUAGUAACAGCAGCAGUAGUAGUAGUAACAGCAGCAGUAGUAGUAACAGCAGUAGUAGCAGCAAUAGUAACAGCAUCAGCAGCAGUAGUAGUAGUAGUAGUAGUAGUAACAGCAGCAGUAGUAGUAGUAGUAGUAACAGCAGCAGUAAUAGCAGCAGCAGCAGUAAUAGUAACAACAGUAGCAAUAGUAGUAGUAACAGCAGCAGCAGCAGCAAUAGUAACAGCAUCAGCAGCAGUAGUAGUAGUAGUAGUAACAGCAGCAGUAGUAGUAGUAGUAGUAACAGCAGCAGUAGUAGUAGUAGUAGUAACAGCAUCAGCAGCAGUAGUAGUAGUAGUAGUAACAGCAGCAGUAGUAGUAGUAGUAGUAACAGCAGCAGUAAUAGCAGCAGCAGCAGUAAUAGUAACAACAGUAGCAAUAGUAGUAGUAACAGCAGCAGUAAUAGUAACAGCAGCAGUAGUAGUAGUAGUAGUAGUAACAUCAGCAGUAAUAGUAACAGCAGCAGUAGUAGUAGUAGUAACAGCAGCAGUAGUAGUAACAGUAGUAGCAGUAGUAGCAGUAGUAGUAGUAGUAGUAGCAGUAGUAGUAACAGUAGUAACAGCAGCAGUAGUAGUAGCAGUAGUAACUGCAGCAGCAGGAGUAGUAGUAACAGCAGCAGUAGUAGUAACAGCAGAAGUAGUAGUAACAGUAGUAGCAGUAGUAACAGCAGCAGCAGUAGUAGUAGUAACAGCAGUAGUAGUAGUAACUUUAGUAACAGUAGCAGCAGUAAUAGUAACAGCAGCAGCAGCAGUAGUAGUAGUAACAUCAUCCGUAGUAGAAGUAACAGCAGCAGUAUUAGUGGUAACAGCAGCAGCAUCAGUAGUAGUAACAUUAGCAGCAGUAGUAGUAACAGCAGCAGCAGCAGUAGUAGUAACAUUAGCAGCAGUAGUAGUAGUAACAGCAGCAGUAGUAGUAACAGCAGUAGCAGCAGAAGAAGUAACAGCAGCAGUAGUAGUAAAAACAGCAGUAGUAGUAACAUUAGCAGCAGUAGUAGUAGUAACAGCAGCAGUAGUAGUAACAGCAGUAGCAGCAGAAGAAGUAACAGCAGCAGUAGUAGUAAAAACAGCAGCAGUAAUGGUAACAGCAGCAGCAGCAGUAGUAGUAACAGUAGUUGCAGUAGUAGCGGUAGUAACAGCAGCAGUAGUAGUAACAGCAACAGUAGUAGUAACAGUAGUUGCAGUAGUAGCAGCAGUAGUAGUAACAGCAGCAGCAGUAGUCAUAGUAACAGCAGCAGUAGUAGUAACAGCAGUAGCAGUAGUAGUAACAGCAGCAGUAGUAGUAGUAACAGCAGCAGUAGUAGUAACAGCAGUAGCAGUAGUAGUAACAGCAGCAGUAGUAAUAGUAACAGCAGCAGUAGUAGUAACAGCAGCAGAAGCAGUAGUAGUAACAGCAGCAGCAGUAGUAGUAACAGCAGCAGUAGUAGUAACAGCAGCAGUAGUAACAGUAGUAGUAGUAAUAGUAACAGAAGCAGUAGUAGUAACAGUAGUAGCAGCAGCAGUAGUAGUAACAGUAGUAGCAGCAGCAGUAGUAGCAACAGCAGCAGCAGCAGCAGUUGUACGAUCAGCAGCAGUAGUAGUAGUAACAGAAGCAGUAGUAGUAACAGCAGCAGUAGUAGUAACAGCAGCAGCAGCAGCAGUUGUACGAUCAGCAGCAGUAGUAGUAGUAACAGAAGCAGUAGUAGUAACAGCAGCAGCAGUAGUCAUAGUAACAGCAGCAGUAGUAGUAACAGCAGUAGCAGUAGUAGUAACAGCAGCAGUAUUAGUAGUAACAGCAGCAGUAGUAGUAACAGCAGUAGCAGUAGUAGUAACAGCAGCAGUAGUAAUAGUAACAGCAGCAGUAGUAGUACCAGCAGCAGAAGCAGUAGUAGUAACAGCAGCAGUAGUAGUAGUAACAGCAGCAGUAGUAGUAACAGCAGUAGCAGUAGUAGUAACAGCAGCAGUAGUAAUAGUAACAGCAGCAGUAGUAGUAACAGCAGCAGAAGCAGUAGUAGUAACAGCAGCAGCAGUAGCAGCAGUAGUAGUAACAGCAGUUAUAGUAGCAGCAGCAGCGGUAGCAGUAGUAGUAAGAGCUGCAGUAGUAGUAGUAACAGCAGCAGCAGUAGCAGUAGUAGUAACAGUAGCAGCAGUAGUAGUAGUAGUAACAGCAACAGCAUUAGAAGCAACAGUAGGAGCAGUAGUUGCAGCAGCAGUAAUAUUAACAGCAGCAGCAGCAGUAGUAGUAACAGCAGCAGCAGUAGUAGUAGCAGCUGUAGUAGUAGCAGUAGCAGUAGUAGUAGUAGCAGCUGCAGCAGUAGUAGUAGCAGUAGCAUUAGCAGUAGUAACACUAGCAGCAGCAGCAGUAGUAGUAGUAGUAACAGUAGCAGUAGCAGUAACAGUAACAGCAGCAGUAGCAGCAGCAGCAGCAGUAGUAGUAGCAGUAUUAGUAGCAGCAGUAGUAGUAACACUAGCAGUAGUAGCAGUAGCAGCAGCAGUAGUAGCAGUAACAGUAGCAGUAACAGUAGCAGCAGUAGUAGUAGAAGCAGCAGUAGUAGCAGUAACAGUAGCAGCAGCAGCAGUAGUAGCAGUAUUAGUAGCAGCAGUAGUAGUAACACUAGCAGUAGUAGCAGUAGCAGCAGCAGUAGUAGCAGUAACAGUAGCAGUAACAGUAGCAGCAGUAGUAGUAGAAGCAGCAGUAGUAGCAGUAACAGUAGCAGCAGCAGUAGUAGUAGUAGAAGUAGCAGUAGCAGUAGUAGUAGAAGUAGCAGUAGCAGUAGUAGUAGAAGCAGCAGUAGUAGCAGUAGUAGCAGCAGCAGUAGUAGUAGUAGAAGUAGCAGUAGCAGUAGUAGUAGAAGUAGCAGUAGCAGUAGUAGUAGAAGCAGCAGUAGUAGCAGUAAGUAGCAGCAGCAGUAGUAGUAGUAGAAGUAGCAGUAGCAGUAGUAGUAGAAGUAGCAGUAGCAGUAGUAGUAGAAGCAGCAGUAGUAGUAGUAACAGUAGCAGCAGCAGUAGCAGCAGCAGCAGUAGAGGCAGUAGUAGUAGAAGAAGUGGCGGUGGCAGUAACAGUAACAGCAGUAGUAGUAGAGGCAGCAGUAGUAGUAGAAGUAGCAGUAGCAGUAGUAGUAGAAGUAGCAGUAGCAGUAGUAGCAGUAACAGUAGCAGCAGUAUCAGCCCCAAUAGUAUUUACAGCAGCAGUAGCAGAAGUGAAUCUGAAGGAGAGAAAGAAGGCAGAGAGAGAGAGAUCUGUAAAGGUACAUUAAGGCUUUGUUUGGGCCAAGAAGGAUCUGUGUAA
Molecule: long non-coding RNA, 4266 nt
Organism: Oncorhynchus mykiss (rainbow trout)
Lineage: Eukaryota; Metazoa; Chordata; Actinopteri; Salmoniformes; Salmonidae
Source: Ensembl